Molecule: ribosomal RNA, 469 nt
Filed under: uncultured bacterium
Lineage: Bacteria
Description: bacterial SSU rRNA
Rfam family: Bacterial small subunit ribosomal RNA
Source: RNAcentral
UUCGCAAUGCCCGAAAGGGUGACGAAGCGACGCCGCGUGGGUGAAGAAGGCCUUCGGGUUGUAAAACCCUGUCAGGAGUUAUGAAAUGUAAGUGCGCUAAUAUCGUGCUUAUUUGACAAAGGCUCCAAAGGAAGCCACGGCUAACUCUGUGCCGGCAGCCGCGGUAAUACAGAGGUGGCGAGCGUUGUUCGGAAUUAUUGGGCGUAAAGAGCACGUAGGUGGGUUUGCAAGUCAGAUGUGAAAGCCUUCUGUUCAACGGGAGAAUUGCAUCUGAAACUGCUGAUCUUGAGUAUAGGAGGGGAGAAUGGAACUUUUGGUGGAGCGGUGAAAUGCGUAGAUAUCAGAAGGAACGCCGGCGGCGAAAGCGAUUCUCUGGCCUAUUACUGACACUCAGUGUGCGAAAGCUAGGGGAGCAAACGGGAUUAGAUACCCCGGUAGUCCUAGCCGUAAACGAUGGGCACUAAGUAGA